Molecule: transfer RNA, 67 nt
Filed under: Marmota monax (woodchuck)
Lineage: Eukaryota; Metazoa; Chordata; Mammalia; Rodentia; Sciuridae
Description: tRNA.Ala
Source: RNAcentral
AGAUGUAGCUCAGUGGUAAAGUGCUGGCCUAGCAUGCAGGAAGCUCUGAGUUCCAUCCCCAGCACUG